This 459-nucleotide ribosomal RNA is filed under the name uncultured bacterium. RNAcentral's name for it is "partial 16S ribosomal RNA". It matches the Rfam family "Bacterial small subunit ribosomal RNA", at positions 338 to 795 of the family's 1533-position model. The record is from RNAcentral.
CCUACGGGCGGCUGCAGUGAGGAAUAUUGGUCAAUGGUCGGGAGACUGAACCAGCCAAGCCGCGUGAGGGAUGAAGGUACAGAGUAUCGUAAACCUCUUUUGUCAGGGAACAAAGGCGGGGACGUGUCCCCGGAUGAGUGUACCUGAAGAACAAGCAUCGGCUAACUCCGUGCCAGCAGCCGCGGUAAUACGGAGGCUGCGAGCGUUCUCCGGAUUUAUUGGGAGUAAAGGGUGCGCAGGCGGUCUGUUAAGUCAGCGGUCAAAGCCCGGGGCUCAACCCCGGCCCGCCGUUGAAACUGGCAGUCGCGAGUUGGAGAGAAGUAUGCGGAAUGCGCGGUGUAGCGGGGAAAUGCAUAGAUAUCGCGAAGAACUCCGAUUGCGAAGGCAGCAUGCCGGCUCCACACUGACGCUGAGGCACGAAAGCGUGGGUAUCGAACAGGAUUAGAUACCCCUGUAGUC